Molecule: ribosomal RNA, 486 nt
Filed under: uncultured bacterium
Lineage: Bacteria
Description: partial 16S ribosomal RNA
Rfam family: Bacterial small subunit ribosomal RNA
Source: RNAcentral
AUUGAACGCUGGCGGCAUGCCUUACACAUGCAAGUCGAACGGCAGCACGGGUGCUUGCACCUGGUGGCGAGUGGCGAACGGGUGAGUAAUACAUCGGAACAUGUCCUGUAGUGGGGGAUAGCCCGGCGAAAGCCGGAUUAAUACCGCAUACGAUCUACGGAUGAAAGCGGGGGACCUUCGGGCCUCGCGCUAUAGGGUUGGCCGAUGGCUGAUUAGCUAGUUGGUGGGGUAAAGGCCUACCAAGGCGACGAUCAGUAGCUGGUCUGAGAGGACGACCAGCGACACUGGGACUGAGACACGGCCCAGACUCCUACGGGAGGCAGCAGUGGGGAAUUUUGGACAAUGGGCGAAAGCCUGAUCCAGCAAUGCCGCGUGUGUGAAGAAGGCCUUCGGGUUGUAAAGCACUUUUGUCCGGAAAGAAAUCCUUGGCCCUAAUACGGUGGGGGGAUGACGGUACCGGAAGAAUAAGCACCGGCUAACUACGUG